UGUGGGAAAAGCACUUACCCCUUGCCUUUUGGAUGGUAACAUAGUUUAGUGCUUUUUAGAAUCAAUUUGAUUAUGUUGCGGGUGAAAAACAGAUCUCUACUGGGAAAGAUUGUUUGGCCAAGGAAAAUCAGAUGUCGGACACUGACCUAUUCAACAAACAAGAAACAGGACUUCUUCAGCUAAGUUCACAUAUGUUGGGAGGGGGAAGUCAAGUUAAAUACUGGUUUAUAGGCCUUGGAGCAAUCAUCUACAAAGGAUGUGAAGUUGUAACAAGCUGGACAUUCCUUGUUCAAUAGCUCAUCACUGUUAAUUCUUGAUGCUGCCUGCUCUUUAUACUUUUCCAUACACUAAUCUGCAGAUAGCUAAAGCUAUCCUUUUUAUUUGUGGUGGAGCUUUUGUUGGUAGAGAAGACAAUUUCAGAAAGGUUAUCUGUCAAACUCAAUUAAUUUCAUUAAACACAUUUAAGUUAAGUGAUAUAAUAUGGUUCAACUUAUCAUUCUUUUACUCCCAGACGACAAGAUUCUUCAACUGGAUUCGGAGUACCUGUUCUAACUAACAUAAGAGUUAGUGGUCUAACUGAUGCUGUAGUUACAUCAUCACUAUUGGAAUCUGUGAGGAGAUGCUAAAGCUAUCCUUUUUAUUUGUGGUGGAGCUUUUGUUGGUAGAGAAGACAAUUUCAGAAAGGUUAUCUGUCAAACUCAAUUAAUUUCAUUAAACACAUUUAGGUUAAGUGAUAUAAUAUGGUUCAACUUAUCAUUCUCUUACUCCCAGAUGACAAGAUUCUUCAACUGGAUUCGGAGUACCUGUUCUAACUAACAUAAGAGUUGGUGGCCUAACUGAUGCUGUAGUUACAUCAUCACUAUUGGAAUCUGUGAGGAGAUCCCUGUGACUUGAGUGUAGUUUUCUUUUUCGGAUCACUAUUUUGUAAAUCUAAUGAUUUCAUGACUCUUUAUUCUCGUGAAAUUCUAAAAACCAAAUGCAUCGGAAGCAUUCAUGUCACAUUGCUUUCUGUAUCUAGGUAGAAAGUGACGAUCUCACUGCGGAUGGACUCAUAUUUGUGGUGCGAUUUCCAGUAUUAGUGAGUUUAUCUUCCCUGGAUGAGGAUUAGCUUGUUCAGGUUUGUCUACUCUUUUCACCUUUUGGC
RNAcentral lists this long non-coding RNA (1144 nucleotides) under Solanum tuberosum (potato). RNAcentral describes it as "long non-coding RNA (STUB_LNC002417)". The record is from RNAcentral. Lineage: Eukaryota; Viridiplantae; Streptophyta; Magnoliopsida; Solanales; Solanaceae.